AUACCGGCAGCCCGAGUGAUAGCCACUAUUAUUGGGCCUAAAGCGUCCGUAGCCGGCCGAACGGGUCCGUCGGGAAAUCCACUCGCUCAACGAGUGGACGUCCGGCGGAAACCAGUCGGCUUGGGGCCGGGAGACCAGAGAGGUACGUCCGGGGUAGGAGUGAAAUCCCGUAAUCCUGGACGGACCGCCGGUAGCGAAAGCGUCUCUGGAGAACGGACCCGACGGUGAGGGACGAAAGCUGGGGUCUCGAACCGGAUUAGAUACCCGGGUAGUCCAAGCUGUAAACGAUGCUCGCUAGGUGUGGCGUUGGCUACGAGCCAGCGCUGUGCCGUAGGGAAGCCGAGAAGCGAGCCGCCUGGGAAGUACGUCCGCAAGGAUGAA
Molecule: ribosomal RNA, 381 nt
Filed under: uncultured bacterium
Lineage: Bacteria
Also listed under: 1 other name
Description: bacterial SSU rRNA
Rfam family: Archaeal small subunit ribosomal RNA
Source: RNAcentral